CGCGCCGUGGCUGAUGCGCGAUUACUAGCGAAUCCAGCUUCAUGGAGUCGGGUUGCAGACUCCAAUCCGAACUGAGAGGGGUUUUGGGGAUUGGCAUCCCGUCGCCGGGUAGCGGCCUUCUGUACCUCCCAUUGUAACACGUGUGUAGCCCCGGACGUAAGGGCCGUGCUGAUUUGACGUCAUCCCCACCUUCCUCACAUCUUACGAUGGCAGUCCCAAUAGAGUCCCCAGCAUGGCCUGAUGGUAACUAUUGGCAAGGGUUGCGCUCGUUAUGGCACUUAAGCCGACACCUCACGGCACGAGCUGACGACAACCAUGCAGCACCUCCGCACAGGCCCCGAAGGGAAUCAACAUCUCUGUAUCAGUCCUGUGCAGUUCAAGCCCGGGUAAGGUUCCUCGCGUAUCAUCGAAUUAAACCACAUGUUCCUCCG
RNAcentral lists this ribosomal RNA (431 nucleotides) under uncultured Bacteroidales bacterium. Its description in RNAcentral is "partial 16S ribosomal RNA". Lineage: Bacteria; Pseudomonadati; Bacteroidota; Bacteroidia; Bacteroidales. The record is from RNAcentral.